This is a transfer RNA of Caenorhabditis briggsae, 84 nucleotides long. It matches the Rfam family "tRNA". From Rfam's summary of the family: Transfer RNA (tRNA) molecules are approximately 80 nucleotides in length. Their secondary structure includes four short double-helical elements and three loops (D, anti-codon, and T loops). NCBI's taxonomy places the organism in Eukaryota, Metazoa, Nematoda, Chromadorea, Rhabditida, Rhabditidae. The record is from Rfam.
GCCGGGGUAGCCAAGUGGCAAAGGCGCGGGCCUUAAGAACCUGUGGAUAUAUAUCCUUUAGGGGUUCGAUUCCCCUCCCCGGCA